GCCUCUUUAACUCAGUGGUAGAGUGUUGCACUUGUAUAAAACGAGCAAAUGCAUUGGUCAGUCGUUCAAUCCGGCUAGGAGGCA
This is a non-coding RNA of Mycena metata, 84 nucleotides long. The record is from the annotation of a GenBank genome assembly. NCBI's taxonomy places the organism in Eukaryota, Fungi, Basidiomycota, Agaricomycetes, Agaricales, Mycenaceae.